This 180-nucleotide small nuclear RNA is filed under the name Sciurus vulgaris (Eurasian red squirrel). Its description in RNAcentral is "U2 spliceosomal RNA (ENSSVLG00005003653.1)". It matches the Rfam family "U2 spliceosomal RNA". From Rfam's summary of the family: U2 is a small nuclear RNA (snRNA) component of the spliceosome (involved in pre-mRNA splicing). Complementary binding between U2 snRNA (in an area lying towards the 5' end but 3' to hairpin I) and the branchpoint sequence (BPS) of the intron results the bulging out of an unpaired adenosine, on the BPS, which initiates a nucleophilic attack at the intronic 5' splice site, thus starting the first of two transesterification reactions that mediate splicing. Lineage: Eukaryota; Metazoa; Chordata; Mammalia; Rodentia; Sciuridae. The record is from RNAcentral.
ACCUCUUGGCUAAGAUCAAGUGUGGUAUCUAUUUUUAUCAGUUUAAUAUCUGAUUUAUCUUCUAUCCUUGGACAAUAUAUUGAAUGGAUUAUUAGAGCAAGGAAAUGGAAUAGGAGCUUGUUCUCUCCACUCAAAGAAUUGACCUAGUAUUGUACUACUUACAGAAAUGGUGCACCCCCU